This 120-nucleotide ribosomal RNA is filed under the name Petromyzon marinus (sea lamprey). Lineage: Eukaryota; Metazoa; Chordata; Hyperoartia; Petromyzontiformes; Petromyzontidae. The record is from RNAcentral.
GCCUAUGAACAAGUCACCUAGAAUGUAAAUGAUCUUGUCAGGUCUCAGAAGCUAAGCAGGCUUGAGCUUGGAUAGUGCUUGGAUGGGCAAGCACCAGGUAUAAAACAGGUGUUAUAGGCU